GCCCCGAUAGCUCAGUCGGAUAGAGCGGCUCCCUCCUAAGGAGCAGGCCCCUGGUUCGAAUCCAGGUCGGGGCA
RNAcentral lists this transfer RNA (74 nucleotides) under Actinomycetota bacterium. Its description in RNAcentral is "Actinobacteria bacterium tRNA-Arg". It matches the Rfam family "tRNA". From Rfam's summary of the family: Transfer RNA (tRNA) molecules are approximately 80 nucleotides in length. RNAcentral also lists the same sequence under 1 other name. The record is from RNAcentral. Lineage: Bacteria; Bacillati; Actinomycetota.